Alosa alosa (allis shad) is the source of this 195-nucleotide long non-coding RNA. RefSeq lists it as uncharacterized. The transcript has 2 exons. NCBI's taxonomy places the organism in Eukaryota, Metazoa, Chordata, Actinopteri, Clupeiformes, Clupeidae. The record is from RefSeq and is a predicted model, not a curated record.
UGAAAGACACUCACAUUUCCUGCCUCUGAACUUGAAAGAGACGGAUGGGGUUCCCCAUUGUGUUUGGUGGAGAAGCAGAUUGUGUGUUCUUUUUGGUGGAAACACUGUGGCUUGCAAAGAGGAUGGACAAGCUUUUUGCAGAGUCAUACCCUAGAGCCAGGGCCAACGUCCAUAAACCUAAUCCCACAGUCUGAA